GCCGCUUUCCAGAGCGCUCUCGCCCCCGUUCCUGCGAGUCCUCACCGAGGUCCUGCAGGCCGCUCGCUGUCCUCGCCAGCGUGAGUUCCACUGGAGCGAAACUGAGGCUGAGCUGGGUCGCAGGCAGCACAGCUAGUGAGAGGCGGAAUCACAGUCUCCAGCCCCGUGAGCAAGUCGAGAGAGACCAGCGGGGGCGAGGUCUUGGAGUACACACUGGGCAGCAAUCAGUGCCUCUCUUAAUUCCCGAAUUACAACCUGAAAGGAGAGGAAAUGCAAUAGAACCCAGGUGUUGAAUCUUGAGAUGAUGCCCUUUCUCCUGGCUGCCUGAGGAGUCUUCCUUCGCUGGCCUCCUGGAGUGACCU
This is a long non-coding RNA of Heterocephalus glaber (naked mole-rat), 362 nucleotides long. The record is from Ensembl. NCBI's taxonomy places the organism in Eukaryota, Metazoa, Chordata, Mammalia, Rodentia, Bathyergidae.